AGCAGCCGCGGUAAUUCCAGCUCCGAUAGCGUAUAUUAAAGUUGUUGCAGUUAAAAGCUCGUAGUUGAAUUUCGGGGUCAGCAGGUUGGUCGUGCCAAUGGUAUGCACUGGCCUUGCUGAUUCCUCCCUCUUGUAGAACCGUAAUGCCAUUAAGUUGGUGUUGCGGGGAAACAGGACUGUUAACUUUGAAAAAUUAGAGUGUUUAAAGCAGGCUAACGCCUGAAUACAUUAGCAUGGAAUAAUGAAAUAGGACGAUCGAUCCUAUUUUGUUGGUUUCUAGGAUUGACGUAAUGAUUAAUAGGGAUAGUUGGGGGCAUUAGUAUUCAAUUGUCAGAGGUGAAAUUCUUGGAUUUAUUGAAGAAUGACUACUGCGAAAGCAUUUGCCAAGGAUGUUUUCAUUAAGUCAAAGAACGAAAGUUAGGGGAUCGAAGACGAUCAGAUACCGUCGUAGUCUUAACCAUAAACUAUGCGACUAGGGAUCGGAUGAUGUUAAUUUUAAUGA
This 502-nucleotide ribosomal RNA is filed under the name uncultured Glomus. Its description in RNAcentral is "SSU rRNA". It matches the Rfam family "Eukaryotic small subunit ribosomal RNA", at positions 569 to 1074 of the family's 1831-position model. Lineage: Eukaryota; Fungi; Glomeromycota; Glomeromycetes; Glomerales; Glomeraceae. The record is from RNAcentral.